RNAcentral lists this ribosomal RNA (427 nucleotides) under uncultured Gammaproteobacteria bacterium. RNAcentral's name for it is "bacterial SSU rRNA". It matches the Rfam family "Bacterial small subunit ribosomal RNA", at positions 355 to 774 of the family's 1533-position model. The record is from RNAcentral. Lineage: Bacteria; Pseudomonadati; Pseudomonadota; Gammaproteobacteria.
UGGGGAAUAUUGGACAAUGGGCGCAAGCCUGAUCCAGCCAUGCCGCGUGUGUGAAGAAGGCCUUCGGGUUGUAAAGCACUUUUGUUGGGGAAGAAACAGGUUGGCUUAAUACGCUGACUGACUGACGGUACCCAAAGAAUAAGCACCGGCUAACUUCGUGCCAGCAGCCGCGGUAAUACGAAGGGUGCAAGCGUUACUCGGAAUUACUGGGCGUAAAGCGUGCGUAGGCGGUUGAUUAAGUCUGCUGUGAAAGCCCCGGGCUCAACCUGGGAAUUGCAGUGGAAACUGGUCAGCUAGAGUGCGGUAGAGGAGGGUGGAAUUUCCGGUGUAGCGGUGAAAUGCGUAGAGAUCGGAAGGAACAUCUGUGGCGAAGGCGACCCUCUGGACCAGCACUGACGCUGAGGCACGAAAGCGUGGGGAGCAAACA